Molecule: long non-coding RNA, 6537 nt
Organism: Balaenoptera ricei (Rice's whale)
Lineage: Eukaryota; Metazoa; Chordata; Mammalia; Artiodactyla; Balaenopteridae
Exons: 13
Source: RefSeq, a predicted model, not a curated record
CCCCGGGUCCCCACUUCGGGCCGGUGGGGGUGGCCGGGGGGAGCCAAAGACGUUCGUGCGUGCGUGCGUGAGAGCGGGCGAGUCCACGGGGACGGCGGCGCGUGCGCCGCGAGUGAGUGGUUCAGCCGGGCCUUGGCUCAUUGUGCUCGCCUCACGCUGGCCCGAGUUGGCGGCAGCGCUGGAGGUCACGGGCCUGUGAGCACAAAGAGGGAGCCGGGGGCCAAACGGGAGCGCGGCGGCGGCGGCGGCGGCGGAGGGUGAGGCCCAGGCCAGACCCCCUCCCCUCAGCCUCCCGCCCGCCUGCCCCGCCGCCGCCGCCGGCGGCGCCCCGCCCCUCCCCCAACCGCCAGACUAGCCUGGUGCGGGGGCCGCGCGCGAAGACCUGGGGGAGAGGUUGGAGCUGAGGCUGGAGUCGCCCGUGGGGGCCGAGCCCGCCGUCUACCCAUGGCUGCUGCUGGUCUACGACAAACCUCACGAUGCUGCUCACAAAAUCAGCGAGACCAUCCGGAGGAAAAGAGACGUAGAGUUACAUCCAGAGAAUGAGUUGCUGGACCGCUCCCUGCAGAAGAACCGGGAAGAGUAAGACCAGGAACACACGUGGAAGAAGAAGAAAGAGAUGAUAAAGUAAAGCCUGGUCACCUCCAGGAAGCAGAUGGCAGGCAGAUAACGCCGAGGCAAAUGAACCCAAUUACCGGUCCGCCGGACCCAAUUACCGGACUGCCUGACGCCAGCGAUGACGGUUUUGAAAUAAGGCAAGAAGAAGAAGAAUGCAGGACUUUUACCACUUUGCUCCUUAUUGUGACUCCCUGGACUGCGGUGGCUGCCCGAGGGGCGGGGACGCCAGCUGGGAUCUCCAGGCGUGUGUGGGCAUCGUGUCUGCAGCCAGCGUCCCCGAGGCCACGCUCGGCCCAUAAUCACUCAGUGAAGCUGCGCCACGACAGCGCGGCCGACUUUUUCUGGCACUGUGAGGACCUGUGCGCAUUGCAGGAUUCUGUGCCUCUGCCCGCCUUGCGCGCCUCCCUGCGGGAGGGCCUGCUGGACUUCAACGCCGACCGCCUCCGCGGGGUGGACUGGGCGCCGCCCCUGAGCACCCUCUGCCCCCGAUCUGUAUCCAGAGCUUCUUCCAGCCACGACUUGGCGAGACAGGUUCUGACAGAAAUAAAGUCUCCAGAAGUUGUGUUCCUGCAAUAAGAAAUAAAGAUGUGACCUUCCAGUUGUGUAAAGCUCUUAAAUGCUGUGUAAGUGCGUCGGGUGCGCUAAGGAACCUGGAGCUAAAUGGGCUAGUUCUGAGAGAGAGAGACUUAACUACAUUAAAAAAGAUAAAACACAGGACCGGGCUUCCCUGGUGGCGCAGUGGUUGAGAGUCUGCCUGCCAAUGCAGGGGACACGGGUUUGAGCCCUGGUCCGGGAAGAUCCCACAUGCCGCGGAGCCACAGCUGCUGAGCCUGCGCGUCUGGAGCUUGUGCUCCGCAACGGGAGAGGCCGCGACAGUGGGAGGCCCGCGCACCGCGAUGAAGAGUGGCCCCCGCUUGCCGCAGCUGGAGAAAGCCCUUGCACAGAAACGAAGACACAACACAGCCAAAAAUAAAUAAAUUAAUUAAUUUAAAAAAUUAAAAAAAAACAAACAAAAAAAACAAAACACAGGACCAUUUGCUGUGAUUGCAUAAGAAAAUGUAAAUGGGAUCAGCACAGACAAACGAAACAAACAUGGUAUUGACAGAAGGCACCCCAGAGAGAAGGUGUGGAACUAUUAGAAGCAACCUGGAUAUCAACCCUGCUUCUGGGAGGCAGUUCUGACUACAAGGGCAGGAGAUUCUCUGAAGCCAGCUCGAGAGAGGCUAUAUUCAUCUGUGUUGAUCACUGCUGUGUUUCCUGAACAUGCCUAUAAAACAUACUGAAGAAGGGUGCCUGAAAUUUGUUCCAGAAAUGACAUCUGCUGAAGGGAGAACAUGUUCUAGCAAUGAAAUCUUCAAAAGACUCCUGCCGCUGCUCUGUGACUGGGACCCCUAGGUUGUCUUUGGAAGUUUCUAAGGCCUCCUGAGUAGAGACUGGGACAUGGAAGGAGUCGAGAGGCAAAGGAAGCCCAGCAUCACCUGUAAUUUUCUGAAACUGGAGGGAAAGACAAAAGACAAGACAAAAAUUUAGUGAUGAACAAAGCCAACCCUUAAAAAGCACAUGUAAACAGUAUAUUGUUUGUGACCAGACUGUGUUCUCAAGUUGUCAGUUCCCAAGACCAGUCUGAGAUUGGCUGAGGUGGGCGAAGGGGGCUCUAAGUAAGACUAGAGGAAAAGCUGAUAUGUUUCCCCUCCCAUUCCCAUGACCAGGUGGACUACUAACAGUAGAAUUCAUCUGGGGACGACCUAGUAAAUGAAAAUCUGACUGAUCUAUACCAGCCAUUGUGGCCAGCUGCCCAAGCCUGGACCAGAGGAGGAAAGGAGAAAAGACAAAGAGUUCAAAUGUCCACCAUUCACCUUGGUGUAAGCUUAAGGAACCAUUCAAGGGGAUACAAUGCAGAUGGGAGGAGAAAACAGAACCCUCACUCAAGCUGUGCAGUGUUGCAAUCAGGCUUCCAUUUGAAAAAUAAUCUUCUCUAUAGCUUUAAAGUGAUAACUUUGUACCUGCAAUGCUUCUUGUUUCAAACUGAUUUUCUCUGGCUCUUCCUGAACACUUUCUGAGGAAUCUUCGACCUCUUCAAUUUCUGAGGAGGAAGGACUCUCUACUGUCACAGUACAGGAAAUUCUGAUGGACCUGAGUGUCACAAGAAGAUAGGAAACCACAGAGUUGUUAAACUGAAGUGCAAAGAAAGAAGACAAGAUUGUAUAAAAGAUAACACAAGCCAGAUACCAAAUAUCCACAUAUUAGAGGACAUUUAACAAAAGUAAUCUGAGGUAUCAUUAUUUAUAAAUGUCUCUCACUGCUCCUUAGUCUAAAACAGGCAAUGACUAAGUAAAAGUACAGUAACUUAUUUUUGCUGGGUUACUGUACAGACCUCUGUUGUACAUGGUUAGGAUUAGUAAUGGGAAUUGCCCAUAUUAUUUUAUUAAGUUUCUUUCACAGAAGCCAAGUGAAGAGCCAAGGUAAACAUUUUUUCUCAGAUCAACUUUAUACUGCAAAUGAAAAAUGUAUUCUUUACCAUCAGACGAAAACAGUCUGGAAGAAAAUGUAGUUUUUCGGAGGAAAAUACAUCAGUAAAGGGACUGAUGAAUAAUCAGAAAGUCAACAUAUCUAAGCUGUGAAUAACAGACGUUUGAAUUUUAAAAAAUAAAUCACAUACACAUACACAACUAAAACUGACCCAUCAAAAAUUUCAUCUUCUCAUCACCCUUAAGCCAAAACUAGGGUAACAGUAAUACAAUUCUCCUAUCAAGCGUCACUGCCACUGCAAUGUUGUUCCAUAGGACAUUUCCAAACAUUUAAAAACUGACCUGGCCACAACCCCGUAAAAGUCUACAGAUCAUACAGAAGUGUGCUGGGAUUAUAUAACUACGCAGAAGACAAGUCACUAGGACAUCAUUUUCACAACAAGCAGCAAAACUGCAGCAUGGGAAAUUCCCAACAGGAGAACGAGGCGCACACCCCUCCCUCUGGGCAUGCAAGGGCAGGACUGACACCCAAGGUGCUCUUCUCUCGAUCUCAGCAGUGGUGCCUUUCACAGAGCAACUAUGCAGUCUCCCAAGACCACUGGGAAGGAGAAUGGGAUACUGACAGUAUUAGCUUGCCAUGAGGCCAUAAGCGAGGGAAUGUGUGUGGCCUUGGUGAGAGAGCAGAGGUUUGGGAGAUGUUGCUUUAUAUUGGCUUUCAGAUCAGGAAGUUGUACAUAUAGCCUGCAAACAACAUUUCUUGAAAACAUAUGAACAUUCUUGAGUAUGACAGCUCCAUGUGAGGGGUCAGCAAUGGCAGUCAGGUUUGUGUCACUUGGUAACAGCUGAUUUGUGGACUGAAGAACAGGCUUCCUUGUUCACAGACAUAACCACAAGGCUGCCAGUUGUGUGCAAAAUCCACACAACUACACAGCUGCAUUGGGAGAGCAACCAGACAAGUUUUACAUGGAUUUACUUCAGAGAGGGAAAUGCUUCUUUUAAGGCUCUGUCAGUUUAAAAAGCAAAAAGAAUGACCACCCACCUUUCCCAAUUCGACCCCUACAUGUCAUAAAUAUGAUAGCUAUAUACCUGCACCUGACUACAUACAUCACGAGUUUGAUGAAUGGAAAGCCCCUAAAAGGAUAUCAACAAAAUGAAGUUAGAUCUUGAUGUAAAUACAUCACCAGUUAAAUCCAGUUAAUACAACUAUUUAGUAUUAUGUACAGUAUCCAUACAGAAUUGUGUAUAAAAAUAAAUAAGCUCAAAAGAAGGACCUGGAGGGCUCUGCUACAGAGAAAACUGAACAGAAUUCAGCCGACUGGCUUGGUGAUAACUCUCUGAACUGCUGAGAGGCCCCUUCAGUUCCUAUGUUCAGGAUGGUUGAGAUUUCAGUCUCACUUCUUUAAAUGGUGAUAUUAAUCGUUCUCUAAUUUACCACUCUGUGUGACGAGGAUGGACCUGAGAUUAAGUGUCUCACCAAGAAGAUAGGAAACCACAGAGUUGUUAAACUCAAGUGCAAAGACUGGGGAUUCAACACUAUAGUUUAUGCAACAGCAAUUCACAUUACCAUUUGCAAAAAAUUAGUUGGUUGUCCAACAGGGAUUAUAAACAUCCAUUUAACAUGAGCUACUGAACAGAUACUUUACACAGUAACUCCUUCAAGUACUAUUUAAAAUCAAUUCUCUUUGUUUUCUUAAGCAAUUGUUAACCUCCAAUUUCAUGAAUACUACCAAGUAAGUCACUUGAAAAUCAUCCAGAGCAAUCUAUUUCACUUAGCAAGCCUAAAGCUAUAAUUCAACAAUUUUAUUUACUGUUCUAUGACAAAAAUUACUAUGAACAGCUAUCCCUUGGAUAAGCAAUCAGCUAAAGCUAGCUUGACUCACUAAAUCUGAUUUACUGAGUUAAUAAGCCAGUUGAUUUAGAAUAGGUCUAAUGAAGAUUUCUCAUCCAUUCUGCAUUAAACUACUUCCCAUGCCUAAAAUGUCUUUCUUCCCAUUCGUACAUAUCCAAAUUCCUACUUCUGUGCUGUAGGGCUUGGCUCAACUACACCUGCCUUUAGUGAAACUUUUCUCACCUGCACAAUUGGAGAUAAUUUUAGUCUCCUCAUGACUCCCACGGGGUUACCUCUGUUGUGACACUUGAGAAACAACUUGAAACUCCCAAUUACUUUCUGUUUUUCUUCCUUAGAGGGCUCAUUAGGCAGAAGCCAUGUGUGAGUUAUCUUUUUUCCUCUAUAGAAAGCACCAGACACCGCCCACGUAAUAGAAGUUCCAAAAUAAAGAAUUCUGAACGACUGAAAAAGACAGGGAAUGCAAACACAUUACCUGUUGCUUUUUGCACGUUCUGCAGUACACCAUGGCAGGAAACCAGACACACCAGGUGGUAGAGGUUCAGGACCAUAACAUUCUUUACAAGCAGAGUGUUUCCUUCCAUUACUUACAGGUUUCUUUGUGGCCAAUCCUAUGUUUGACAAAGCACGAAAGAAGGAAUCAAGAUGCACCAAAGGGGGCUUCCGUGGUGGCGCAGUGGUUGAGAAUCUGCCUGCUAAUGCAGGGGACACGGGUUUGAGCUCUGGUCUGGGAAGAUCCCACAUGCCGCGGAGCAACUAGGCCCGUGAGCCACAACUACUGAGCCUGCGCGUCUGGAGCCUGUGCUCUGCAACAAGAGAGGCCACGAUAGUGAGAGGCCCGCACACUGCGAUGAAGAGUGGCCCCGCUUGCUGCAGCUAGAGAAAGCCCUCGCACAGAAACGAAGACCCAACACAGCCAAAUAAAUAAAUAAAUAAAUAAAGAUGCACCAAAGGUCUACAGAGCAACUCUCAAACGUGUACAGUUUGAAAGGAAUCAAACAGGCACUGGACAAUGAUGCCAAGGCCAUUAAAAAAAGGAUCGUUUUGUAAAAAGGUUUUACAUAAGCCAGCAUUUUUUAAAAAUAUAAGUUCUCUACAGUAACAAGUUAUUUUAACUAAAACAAAAGUAUUGAGAUGUGCAGAAAUGGAAAAAUAAAUUUUUUAAAAAUCCCAAAGUAUGAUACAUUUUAUGUAUCAUACAGAAACACUCAAGUUUAUUGAAUCUUAGAACACCUUUGGCAUUUCUGAAUCUCAAGGAUAGCGAAACACAGGUACACCCAUGACUUCUGCCAAACAGAAUCUUCAGAAUUGGACCAAAAUUUCAAUUUAAGAUGAAUUUUUCUAUGUAAAAACAGUAAAAGUUAUAAGACUGCAAGUUGCUGGGUGGUAGGUGAGUCAAUGUUACUCUCCUAUAAGCCUGUCAACCUUCACUGCCCCUUUGAUGUCAUAUAGAAAACACACAAAAAAACAAAGGAAACCCACUGGAUAAAAGAGUGAAAUGUGGAGACUUAUCGUAUAUUUCAGUAGUAAAGAGGCAAGUAUCUUUAUAUGAAAUAUUUGGUUGCAAAAACUAGACCUACGUGUUAAUAUUUUAUUUAGAACAAGCCA